Molecule: ribosomal RNA, 776 nt
Filed under: uncultured Neocallimastigales
Lineage: Eukaryota; Fungi; Neocallimastigomycota; Neocallimastigomycetes; Neocallimastigales
Description: partial large subunit ribosomal RNA
Rfam family: Eukaryotic large subunit ribosomal RNA
Source: RNAcentral
UUAUGUGAUCGUCUCUCGCAUAUCAAUAAGCGGGAGGAAAAGAAACUAACAAGGAUUCCCCUAGUAACGGCGAGUGAAGCGGGAAGAGCUCAAAUUUGAAAUCUUAAAGGGUUUCCCUUUACGAAUUGUAGUUUAAAGAAGUGUUUUCUGUUGAGGUUUUGGUAAAAGUUCUUUGGAAUAGGACAUCAUAGAGGGUGAGAAUCCCGUAUUUGACCUUUACUUUCAACUUUGUGAUACACUUUCAAAGAGUCGGAUUGUUUGGGAAUGCAGUCCAAAAUGGGUGGUAAAUUUCAUCUAAAGCUAAAUAUUGGCGAGAGACCGAUAGCGAACAAGUACCGUGAGGGAAAGAUGAAAAGAACUUUGAAAAGAGAGUUAAACAGUACGUGAAAUUGUCAAAAGGGAAGCGUUUGACACCAGUGUUGUUUUUCUGAAAAUCAAUUAAAGAACUGUUUAUGCUAAGCUGUUUAGACUUUAUCAGCUAUCUGUUUAGUUUUGAGCUUUUCUUUAAUGCACUUUUCAGUUAACAAGUCAACAUCAAUUUCUUUUGCUGUAAAAAAGCUUGAGGAAGGUGGCUUGAGAUUCGUCUUAAGUGUUUAUAGCCUCUUGCCUAUGCAGUCGGAGAGAUUGAGGUCUGCAGCGUAGAUCCUUCGGGGCUAAAUGCAUUUGUGCUAAGUUAUAGCAUUUUAUAGACAACUUGUUGACUAUGAUUUGUCUUGUAGCUUACUCGCUUAUGUUAUUUUACCUACGCUUAGGAUGUUGAGCGCAUGUCUCUCUCU